CCUACGGGUGGCAGCAGUAGGGAAUUUUCGUCAAUGGGCGCAAGCCUGAACGAGCAAUGCCGCGUGAACGAGGAAGGUCUUCGGAUCGUAAAGUUCUUUUUAAGAGGAAAAAGAGCGUAGAGAGGAAAUGCUUUCUGAUUGAUAUUACCCUUCGAGGACGUCACGGCUAACUACGUGCCAGCAGCCGCUGUAAUACGUAGGUGGCGAGCGUUAUCCGGAAUGAUUGGGCGUAAGGGGUGCGUAGGCGGCCUGCUAAGUCUUGGGUGAAAGGUACCGGCUCAACCGGUACAGGCUCUGGAAACUGGCGGGAUAGAGAGCAGGAGAGGGCGGUGGAAUUCCAGGUGUAGCGGUAAAAUGAGUAGAUAUAUGGAAGAACACCAGUGGCGAAGGCGGCCGCCUGGCCUGUUACUGACGCUGAGGCACGAAAGCGUGUGGAGCAAAUAGGAUUAGAUACCCCUGUAGUC
Molecule: ribosomal RNA, 464 nt
Filed under: uncultured bacterium
Lineage: Bacteria
Description: partial 16S ribosomal RNA
Rfam family: Bacterial small subunit ribosomal RNA
Source: RNAcentral